This 465-nucleotide ribosomal RNA is filed under the name uncultured Klebsiella sp. Its description in RNAcentral is "bacterial SSU rRNA". It matches the Rfam family "Bacterial small subunit ribosomal RNA", at positions 338 to 795 of the family's 1533-position model. The record is from RNAcentral. Lineage: Bacteria; Pseudomonadati; Pseudomonadota; Gammaproteobacteria; Enterobacterales; Enterobacteriaceae.
CCUACGGGGGGCUGCAGUGGGGAAUAUUGCACAAUGGGCGCAAGCCUGAUGCAGCCAUGCCGCGUGUGUGAAGAAGGCCUUCGGGUUGUAAAGCACUUUCAGCGGGGAGGAAGGCGUUAAGGUUAAUAACCUUGGCGAUUGACGUUACCCGCAGAAGAAGCAUCGGCUAACUCCGUGCCAGCAGCCGCGGUAAUACGGAGGGUGCAAGCGUUAAUCGGAAUUACUGGGCGUAAAGCGCACGCAGGCGGUCUGUCAAGUCGGAUGUGAAAUCCCAGGGCUCAACCUGGGAACUGCAUUCGAAACUGGCAGGCUAGAGUCUUGUAGAGGGGGGUAGAAUUCCAGGUGUAGCGGUGAAAUGCGUAGAGAUCUGGAGGAAUACCGGUGGCGAAGGCGGCCCCCUGGACAAAGACUGACGCUCAGGUGCGAAAGCGUGGGGAGCAAACAGGAUUAGAUACCCGAGUAGUC